CCAUCUCCAAAAAAAAAAAAAAAAAAGUAAAUAUUGUCCAUGUCACUGCCUCCACUGUUUUCCAAUCAUCAAUUAAAGUCAAGUUGACACCUUGCCUUAUCCAUUCAUUCCCCUAGAGUGGGAGAGAAGAGUAAAAUUUAAGCUUUGUUAGGUAAAGAAUUGAAUACAUUUAGCUGAAAGACAAUUAGAAUCCAAAUGGGAAAAUGCUUUGUUGGAUUAAGCAGCUUCUUAAGUUAUUAUUAUUACUGGUGUUACAAAUCUUACUGAGCUUGUAUUAAAUGUCAGGCAUCAUGCCAGUCACGUCAUCUGCAUUACCAAGAGACUUCCCUUUUAUCAUUGUUAUAAUAACAUAUACAUGUAUUCUAAUUGAGAAAACUGAAGUUUAGAGAAUUUAGUAAUUUGUCCAGGUCACAGUAGUAAAUAGUGAAGUCAUGCUUUGAACCCAGAGCUGAUUCCAAAGCCUAACUUAUAAGAAAAAUGCCAUUCUUUCUCCAUAAUUAAAGCCUCCCUCAUUCUACUUCUGCUUUUAAGCCCACCAACUCUGAAAAAUACAACCUUUUGACACAGAGCUCCUCAGCGGAAAAAGGAGCAAUGCAUUGUGUGAAAUACUUCAUGCUACUCUUUAAAAACCAAAAUAUGGCAGGAUUUGUUAGAAGUCCGGAAUAAAGACACUUACUGGUUACGUGAUAUUGGGAAAGUCACUGAACCUCUGUGACUCAAUUUUUCUCAUCUAUAAAAAUAGAAAUAAUAAUGGCAUUUAUCUCCCUGGGUAAUGACCACGGGAAAAAUGAAUUAAUAUAAGGAAAGAGUUUAGACUUAGCAUACAGAAAGAUAUUAUCCAAUAAUAAUACUAACAGGAACUACUACUUUUUAUGAUUCUAUUAGGAUUAGUAUGUUAUAAACAUUAUACCAUUUUUAGUAUUAUUUGGUUACAGUGAAGAAAACCUAGCAUUUAGCAUAGCCUACAUGGGAUACUUCAAAACCGUGAAAAACUUUAAUACUACCAACAGAUCCCACUCAAAUAACUUUCCUUUGAAAGAAUUUUUAAGGUACGCAGGAUCUUUAGAACAAGCACGGUUUUUGUUGUGGUGGGUUUUUUGCUUGUUUGUUUUCUUUCACACGUUGUGUGGCCAUAGUAAUGCUCAAUAGUUUUUUGCUUGAGAAGAACUAAUUUGAAGUUUCUAUCAAUAAGAGUCACAGCAUGUGACUUCUGGGCCACCACACAAAACAUCCUUUGCUAUCACGGUCAGGCAAAGAUAUGGAAUGUGUGGUGUUUCUUUGAAGGCCACCCCUUUUAGGAGGAGAUUACUAACAGCUCCUCCCAGCCAAAGACAGUCUGCAUUUGAAAACAACUUAUCAUUGACAUAUAUAUAUUUUUUGCUUCGUUUAUCUUUUUACACACUAGUAUAGACAGAACAGACAAGUGAUGAUACAAAAUGAGUAACUCAAGGGCAUUCUGUUUAAAGAGUGGUUUCAUUCUUAGGAAAAAUGAACAACUUUUACAGAACAGAGCAGAGCAUGGAGCAGGCUGGCAGAGUUAUCACGAAGGGAUUCAUUUAACACACAGAAAUAAAAUUGCAUCUUAAAUCAGUAGAUAACACACAUUCCUGCGGCAGGAGGAGAAACUAAAUCAUCUAUUAAAUUUUUCCAUGGGGAAAAAAUGUAGCUUGUUAUUGUAAAAGUCAAAAAUAACAAAAAUCCCAUAUAACCCAGUUGCAAUUCAAUGCUGGUUAUCUACAAAGUAGAAAAUAGAAGACGUCCAUGUUUGGGAAGUUGGGAUGAUUAUUGAAACCUGAUAUUUCAAGAUACUCUAAAACACACCAUUUAUUUCAUGAUGCAGAAGGUCAGAUUAGAUUAAUGAAUCUAAAAUAAUUUAUUACCCAAAGAGACAGUAUCAUUAAAAGUUAUCUGGACACAACAUAAGACAAUUACACACAAUGUUAGAAUUUAAGUCUGGAAGAAGCUGUGGUUUGUAGAUUUGGUAUCAUUGAAGAACAAUGUAAGACCAUAAACAAAAUGAAAGAGAAUUUGAGAAGCCUAUGCACUUAAAAUGAAAUAAUUUUUUAGAGGAGUCACUUUGGAAGCUAUAAACUUGUUCUAAAGAAGAUAACAUGCAUUUGUGUAUUAUAAGAGCAUACCUCAACUAUUACUUUUCCUACUGCAACAUAUUUAUAGUGCUUAUACAUACUGGCACAAUCCUUUCCCUAAAUCGGCCAUAAUUCCUAGCCCCUGGCUAUAACUACACCUUCUUCCCUCCUCUUAAAAGAGGGAGAGCAAAAUGCAAAGGAGAAAAAGAGGUGGCAUUACAAGAUCAUUGUUUAUUUUUCUCGUUCUCUGGUAAGAACUGCUCAACUUGCUUCUGAGAAGUAGCUUUACCUGUUCUGAACCUAUGCGAUUAACAUUGAACUAACCCCUUCAUGCUCCUCACAGCCAUAGCUGGGUGAAUAAUUUGGCCAUGGCCAUGUAGUAGAUCCUAAUCACCUGAAGACUGCCAUGGCCUGGGAUUGAUCCUUGAAAACUCAAUCCCAGGACUUAAGGAAAGUUUUCUGGAACUUUUAAAAAUGGAAGGUUUUCUUUCCACGUGGGAUGUUGAACUGCUACUUUUUAACUCUGGAGUGGAUGAUGUCACCUUCGUUACCACUGAAAUCUUGACUGCAAAUGAAGUCCCUUCAAGAGGUAAGCAGACAAAUAUGGAGUAAGAAAUUAGACAGACUGGAAAAGUCUGAAUCAUAAUAUUUGAGAUUCUGAAGCCAGCUGUGCCUGAACAGAUCUUACACCUUGAAACUUCUAUUUUCACCAACUAUUAUUUUCUUCUGUUGUCAUUGUUUAAGCUGGUAUGAGUUUGAUGUAUCCUUGAACAGUGCUAAUCGAUAAUGAGUCACACUGGAUUCUGCAGGACUCACCGUGUUUCAGAAUUGCUCUUCUGGAGCACAGUUGAGCACCUUUUGGGAAGUCACACUUACAGUCACCUCGACAGACACAUUAACAAAAAAGAAAAAAGAAAAAAAAAAAAAAAGCCCUAACAGUUCUCUUUUAUGUUUCUACAACCUUGAAAAUAAAAAAAAAGCAAUCAUUUGAGGAUAUGCUACAUACCAAGUAUUUUGCAUAUAAUGUGUCAUGAAACCUUUACACAGCUUUGUGAAUUAAUUAAAUGAAUUAAGUAUUACUAUCCUUAUGCUACCGAUAGGGAACUGCAAACAGGUUAGAUAAAUUCGCCAAGGUUACACAGUGGUUAACUACACGAGAGAUACAAACAUGGGUCAAUUUGUCUCCAAAAAGCUGAGCAUCUUCCACUCUAAAAUUUUGCUUCCUAGUUUAGCAUUGACUGCCAGAUUUGAAUCAUAAGAAGGACCUGUGUCCAAAACCAAAAAGGAAUUAGAGUACAGUCUUCCAAAGUGAGCAUUUUGAAGUACACACCUUUUAUUUAUAUGCAUAAAUUCUUCUGUGCUUUCUGUAAAUGGCAGCCGUAACUCACCCUCUGCAAGAUGCUUAUAAAGUGAUUUUACGUGAAAUCAUUCAGGGUAUUCAUUCAAUGAUACUGUAAUGUUGCAGAAGACACAGUAGGCUCAAAGUUUAAACCUGAGGGAUUGGAGAGAAUUAACCCUGUUUUAUAGAUGCAAUCAGAAUUCAUUUUAACAGGUCAAAAGCAUGUGUGAAUGCUCAUAGAUAGCUCUGCAAUUUACAAUUAGCUGUAAGUUUUAUGAACCUUGAGAACAAAUUCUUUCAAUUUCUGUAUUUUUUGUAAGAGGCAAGUAAAUACUUAAAGCUAGGUGGGCAAACGGCCAUUGGAGCAGAAGAAUAAUGCAUCUGGCAGGUGUGAGCUUUGGCCUAUUAAACUGUCCAGCUGCAUUAAAAAGAAAAAAAAAAAAAAC
This is a long non-coding RNA of Sapajus apella (tufted capuchin), 3872 nucleotides long. RefSeq lists it as uncharacterized. NCBI's taxonomy places the organism in Eukaryota, Metazoa, Chordata, Mammalia, Primates, Cebidae. The record is from RefSeq and is a predicted model, not a curated record. The transcript has 2 exons.